AUUGUAAGAAUUUUCAGAAAGACCU
Molecule: non-coding RNA, 25 nt
Filed under: Cricetulus griseus (Chinese hamster)
Lineage: Eukaryota; Metazoa; Chordata; Mammalia; Rodentia; Cricetidae
Source: RNAcentral